This is a long non-coding RNA of Cornus florida, 1143 nucleotides long. RefSeq lists it as uncharacterized. The transcript has 3 exons. The record is from RefSeq and is a predicted model, not a curated record. Lineage: Eukaryota; Viridiplantae; Streptophyta; Magnoliopsida; Cornales; Cornaceae.
UAUUUUUAUUUUUGCUGGUAUUGUAGAGUGAACAGUGAAAAAAACCAUAAUUGGUUCGAUAAUGAAACGGCAGCGUUUCUAACGCAAAAAUCACAACAUUUGCCGAGACAAUAGAGAGCACUUUUUUUUUUUUUCUUUCUCUAACGCAAAAAUGACAACAUUUCCUGAACUACUGUAACAAAAGCUGUGUGUUAGCAUCUCCACUUCUAUGUUGGUUGUCUCCGUGGUUUUGGCAACAGAAACACAAAGUCGCUCUGAAAUCAACCCAUUUUCCGCAUCAAUGGAUCUUCUGCCUUUCCUUGUUGGAAAUCCUCAAUUAUGAUCUCCUUAUAUGCCGUAUAUGGAUCAUUUUGCUAUCAGUUCUUCAAUAAAACCUACCUCUUUGUGUCCUUGAACUAUAAUCAGAUGGUUUCGUGCUUUCCUUCUACUCCUAAGAAGUUGGUGAUGACCAUUGGAUUGUUCCUUGGUGGCGCCUCCCUUUUUGCUAUUGGUGUGCAUCUUUCAUAUGUCAAUGUUGCCCCUCAACAAGCUCGAACAAAAGCUCGAAAUGAUUUUGUCAAAGAACGAUUAAGACAGAAAUAUGGCAAGUGAAAGAAGGGUACUCAACUCAUUGAUUUAGGUUGAUGAUGCGGUGAAGUUGUCAAGAAUGGUAUUUUGGGAUCUCUCCUACAGUUCUUUCUACUCUUAUACUGAAGAUGAGGAAGAAAUGUGCAAUUAAUUAUCGAGUACAAUGUGGUGCUGUGGCUAAAUGUCUUGAGCAGAACCUUUUGGUGCAGUCUUUUAGAAUAAGGGCGGGCAAGUGAUUCUACUCAUAAUAACACGUUGUAUCGGUCAUGGGUUUGCUUCAAGAUGUGACUGGAAAAUCAAUGACGUUGUCAGAGUAGCAUCACUUCUUUCUUCUGGUACUGCUGUGGAAAUAUGUUUCAACAGGUGCCAUGGAAGAUAACAAAUAUUCGUGCUUUUGAAACUGCCAGUCAGAAAGUCGGUUUUUCUCUUUGCUAAAAUAUAUGUGUAGCUCACAGAAGUAAAACUGAUUAUAGCUGUGUCAUUGUGGUUUUCUUAAAUUUCUUGUUUUUGUAUAAGAUGCUUGAAAUUAUUAUGAUUAGUUUCUGUCUGUGACUAGUAUUUCUUCAGUAAUUAAAA